AAUCCACGAUUAAUUUUACUUAUUUUAAUUAAUUCAUAUAUCGCUGUCAUGAAUAUAUUUAAAAAUUUAUUUUCUUUAAUUAUUUUAAUAAUUUAUGUUAAGUCAAGAUGUGGUUUAUAAAUAAGAAUAUAAUGGGUUACAUUAAAUUUUAUUUUUGGAUUUAAAAUGAAAAUUAAAAUGAAAUUGGAUUUAAUAGUAAGUUUAAUUAAUUUAUUAGUAUGAAUAAAGAUCUAAAUU
RNAcentral lists this ribosomal RNA (237 nucleotides) under Hyalopterus pruni. RNAcentral's name for it is "partial 12S ribosomal RNA". The record is from RNAcentral. Lineage: Eukaryota; Metazoa; Arthropoda; Insecta; Hemiptera; Aphididae.